ACAAUUUGGCUUAUAAAAAAACUGUAUUAUGUCAAAUUAAAUUCAUAUAAAAAUGUAAAAUCAAACUAACGAAAAAUAAAAUAUUAUAGUAAACAACAAACUAUUUAAACACUCACCCAUUGUGCACACAAGUAGAUAAAUUAUGAUUUCCAACUCCAUUUUUUUGUUUCUAUAUUUCCUUAAUUUUGCCUCUUGGACCAAAAAUCUACAAAUAUCAAUAAUGAUUCAACUAAAUUCAAUGCUGCUUUUGCAUGUGCUUUGACUUUUUUUGGUGUAUGAAUAUUGUAGCUAUAAUCUUAUAUCCAAAAUUUUCAUUCAGAAAAAUUAACAAGAAAAAGACACCGAGUGUUACUUAGAUAUGAACAAGGAAUUAAUAAAUACUUGCACACUAUCCAUGGACAACCAGUUAUUAGCAAUUUUCGAUUUACAUACUCCUACAACACAAUAAGACCAGCUGGAGAAUUGGAUUUUCCUUCUUGUACAUUUAUUUGCCAACGAGCACAUUCAUUUUCAAAUCUAAAGUCCAAGAUAUGUAUUUUUUAGACACCAAGGCACAACUGCCAUUAAUAACCACGUCAAUAGCUUUAACUCUACAUCAAUAUUCUAAUAAAAUAAAGACGUUAAUUAAAUAUAUUAAUAAUAGAAUAUAAUUGAUUAUGAUUACUAAGUUUUACUUACCGCAAUAUUCAUAUCUUUAGUUUUAUCCAUUAUGCUUUUUAACAUCUCUCUUCCGUAGAGAUUGCAAGCUCCAUCAUUCCAAUAUACACUUUAUAACAUAAUUCAAAUUAAUGUCAAAUAAAUCAAAUACAAAUUAUAAUAUUCAAGCUAAUAAAGUAAAAUUAAAUCUCUUACCCCAUGGAUUUUGCAACACCCAAUCUCUAAUUCUUAUGUACAUUUCCAUAAGAGUCUUCUAAAUGAUAACUUGUAAACAAUGAUGAGGACUAUCUUUUUCUCCUCUUUUUUUCUUUGCUCAAUGUUUCAACACUUUCUAUUUGUUGAGAAUGGGGGCUUGAAUUGAAUUGGACUUGUACAGGCAUGAUCACCUUGUUGUAUAGAACCAAUAAUCGCUUCCAUAUUUGACUUCCAAUUAGACAAUUUGUUUAGCACAUUCUUAUUUUGUUCAUCAAUGUAAGAUUUCACUAAACUUAAAUUGGUAUCCACAUAAGAUUGCAUGCCCUGGUAAUGAUCUAGUUGCCAUUUUUGUUGCUGUUCGAAGAAUUUUUUUGGUUGUCAAGAAUCGCCUGAUAAUAAGCUUCUUGUCUUUUUGAUUCCUCAGCAAUGUGUGCAUCAAACAAACUUCUAUACAAACCUGAACCAU
RNAcentral lists this long non-coding RNA (1318 nucleotides) under Olea europaea (common olive). RNAcentral describes it as "long non-coding RNA (OEUR_LNC008530)". Lineage: Eukaryota; Viridiplantae; Streptophyta; Magnoliopsida; Lamiales; Oleaceae. The record is from RNAcentral.